UUUUAGCCCCGAUAGUAGUGAAAGCCCUUUUUUUGUGGCAAUUUUUCUUUACCUCAAAAAAAAAGAUUGUAACGGAUUGCUUCGCUAGUU
RNAcentral lists this small RNA (90 nucleotides) under Flavobacterium psychrophilum DSM 3660 = ATCC 49418. RNAcentral's name for it is "Flavo-1 RNA". The record is from RNAcentral. Lineage: Bacteria; Pseudomonadati; Bacteroidota; Flavobacteriia; Flavobacteriales; Flavobacteriaceae.